This 25423-nucleotide long non-coding RNA is filed under the name Triticum aestivum (bread wheat). RNAcentral's name for it is "long non-coding RNA (TAES_LNC026544)". The record is from RNAcentral. Lineage: Eukaryota; Viridiplantae; Streptophyta; Magnoliopsida; Poales; Poaceae.
CCUUCUCUUGACAAAAUUUUCUCCACAGCUCAUACAUCAUCAUGCACUCGAUCUUUUUUUUUUGCGGGGUACGUGCAGGAGCUCCGGCGGCAUGGAGAUGGCGGCCGAGAACGGCGGCUGCGGCUGCACCCAGUGCAAGUGCGGCACCAGCUGCGGCUGCUCCUGCUGCAGCUGCUAGAUCAUUGAUCAUGCAUGCGCCGCGUGCAUCAUAUCUAUGAUCUACGUAUCCAUCUACUACCAUGUAAUGCCACCUGAUCGAGGGUCUUUGUAUGUAUGUAGUAUGUACGCACCUGCCUGCAUGAGCAGAGCGGGUGCCAUUCCAUGCAUGUAAACCCCUAAAUAAAAUCUCCCGUGGUUUUGCUUACAUCGUGUUGUUAGAUCCUCCUCCUAUUAGUGUUGCUUUCGGGUUCUUCUUAUGCACUAGCAGGAUCAGAGGCCGGUCUUUUGUUCUUGGUCUUCUCCUCAAACUGUCGUUUUCCUCUUCUCUAUGGUUCCAUGUGCGGCAGUAUUUUCUUCUUCUGUUGCCGAGUGUUGUAUCAGACUGUACCUUGUUUUGUGGUUUAUUCCUAUCCAUCUCGAAAUAUAGUGCAGGAAUUUAUUUGCAAAAGGUGGAUCUCAACAAGACACGACGGUAUGUGUAUCUUGCAGGAUUUAUUGAUCGGUCUAUCUUAUGCAUCUUAUUAAAAAAAUACAUUAAGGUCUCAUGGUCAAGCCAAAUUAUCAUUGUUUUUCCUUGCAUGCAAAAUGCAGCAAUAAAUCUUCGUCCUUGGCUUGUUUCUCAUUUCACUGCCUACGUUGCAGGUAUCCGACCCUGUUGGAAUCUCCUUUUCUGUCAUUGUGUUCACUUUCUGUGAUGUGAUGUGUGCGCAAAUAUUCCCACAACAACAACAUAAUAAUAAAGCCAUAUACGCAAGCAACCGAAUAAUGGCAAUGAUAUAUUACUGCUCAAGGCGCAUCUCCAAAUCAACCUGUCAUGUCCAUGGCUGCGUCUAAGCACUCGGGGCAGAAAUACUCACUCUCCGCCACUGAUUCAUAUCACCGAAUCCACACGGCCAAAUUACGUCCUCCAUGUUUUAAGCGAUGCCACUAUAUCUCGUGGGAAAAUUGUUUCCACAGUUCGAUAUCCCUCCCUUUGAUGAAAAAAUUCACGCUUGGCUUCUGCAUCACAGAGUGCAGAUAACGAAUAUUGUUUUCUAUGUUCUGAACUGGAACACUAUAUCUUGUGUAAAAAAUUGUGUCAACAAUAUCGAUAUUCCCUCCUAUAAAAUAAAAUCAUCAAUAGCUCACUUCUCUAUAUAACUGGAUGCAAAGUAAUGGGCGGUGUGGAGCACCCAAGACAGCACGCAAAAUAUCGGUGUUAUUUUAACUCCACUACGUAGACAAGUCACUAUAUUUACACAAUUAUGUAAGAAAAAGAGCUCUUUUAUGGUACCCUGUAUUGAAUAUUGACCGUCCAUCUGCAAAGAUCCAAUGGUGGGUACUUAUCUGUACUGGUGAAACUGGAUUAGCAGCAUCGCUAGUACCGCACGUCUCACGUCCACCGGUAUACUGCUCGGAGGGCAUUAUCGGUGACUCUGCAUCACCGGCAGCCGCCCGCCGGGGCUCGCCUCCUCUUCGCCCCCAUGCCCGCUGGGGCGCCUCCUCCCUGCCUUUAAUCCGCUGUGCUAUGCAUGCUUCUAUGGUUUUGGACUUCUGGCAUGGCACCGUGCGCCCCAUCCCCCUUCCACGCUACGGCCGCGAUGUUCUUUGCCGCCCCGCAUGGCUGAGCAGUGAGCACCUUAGCAUCGCGUUUAUUGUGUUGCCUCGUUCAUGACGACAGUGCAUGCCAAACCACCCUGCGUUGACGAUGAGGCCAGGAUGUGUACAACGUCGUGGUCUUCACGGAGAGCUGCGGCUACGAGAGUGCCGGAGCCUGGCGGAACCUCGCCUAUUUUGUGCUAACCAUGCCCUCGCUACGCUCAUGGCCGUCCUCCUUUAUUUUACUACCGCUUGCCUUCAUGAUCGAGCUCUUCAUGGCCUGGAUCACGCUUUACUUUAGCCUCAGCUUGCCGGACGUGGAGCAGCUACUCAUCUGCCUUUGCUGUGAGGUCGACGACCACGUCAUUGUUCAAAAGCUCACCCAGGCAGGGCUCAACAUACCUGUUUCCUCGUCGUCACCCCGCUGUCACAGACUCACAGGAGUGCACGAUGCAUUCCGAAAUAUUGAUUCGCCAGAGCAAUUCCCUUCACGAACACAAGAAGAGCUUUCACCGUCACAUAUACUGCUCCCUCCCCAGUAGCAGUAUAGGGUACCAUAAAAACCCUCAAGAAAAAUAAAUAACUCAGAGAACUGUCUGGCCAUAGAUGGAGCUUUCUACAGAUGGGGACAAGAAUUUGGCACCACCCACUCAAUUUCCCUCUCACCUUUUUGCAUUGCUUUCAUAUGUAAAAAAACAAAAACAAAAUAGUGAGUUGACUUGCGAUCUGCCUUAAAAUGACAAGAUGACGGUUGGGGGUUAAAAAAACAUUCAAAUGCAUUUUAUAUAUUCAUAUGUUUACUUAUUUUGUAUUUGUUUGUGCAUGUCAUAAAAAUCAUCAAUUUCCACAAGCAUACAUAAUACUCAAUGAUCUACAUUGACAAUAGGCUUUGAGAUUUUUCAACGCAUGACAAGAAAAAUCAAAUGAGGUCAGCUGGAAAUUAAAGAUCAGUUUUGACUUCCAAAAAAUUAUGAUCUCUUUUGUCCAAACUUAAAAGGAAUCAUUACAGAAAAUUUGGAGAUUCCAAUUGUUAGAAUAUUUUCCUACAGGACUAGUAGGGCUGGGAACCAUAAUGAUAUUUUCUAUGGCCUAAUUGACAUGUUUAUGUUGAGCCAAAUCUUUUGGAAAUAGUUUCGUUGAUUCAGUGACAACUAUGUGCUUGCACCUAACGCUUGAGAAAAUUCUUGUAUUUUUUCCCUCUUGCAAUAAAUCAACAUCCAUAUUUUACGCAUUUACUCCAUCUUCAAUUCCCACAGAAUUCAACACAGCAUGACCUGAAAUCUGUGUGUUAAGUUUUCCGGUUCCUGUCUUUUUAAAAUGCUGCAAAAGUAUGUGGCAUGUAAUCUUUAAAAAUAGUGGGAGUGUGAUAGUUAUUGAAAUGCAUGUAGGAUGGAAACUAAAAUUUCAGUAAAAUUCAGCUUAUAACACUAAAAUUGAAAAGGUUGCCAAGCCUAUGGCAACCAAGAGCCGCCAAGAUUUCUUAAAUAACAAAUAUUUUCGGCGACCUCCCCCAAAGAAGACAUAGCUUUUUCCUUGUCUUGACAUUCAAAAGCACUGAGUGAGGGGUAUCGGCUGAAUAUAUUCACUAAGGGCAUGCACAAAAGAGAGUUGACUAUUAUUAUUUUGCAAUGCUUUCAGAAUUUAGUUUGAUAUUGGUUUAAUUCAUAGUUCAUAAUUUACCGAGAAAUACCACUACGAGGUCAAGCACCCCUAAACUUGACCGUUAUGGCUGCAUGCAUCAAUGUAUGCCGAGGGCCGCGCGCGGGGGGUCUUGUUUGGAAAAUAAUAAUGAUCUUAUAGUGCAAUGAUUGGUCAUUGCCUAAGGUAUUUCCCUCUGUUCCAAGAUACAAGGUGUAUUUUUUAUUAAAAAAAACAAAAUUCCCUAUGUUUGACCAAAUUUAAAAUAAAACGUCUCUGUGUUUGGAAACCAUUUAUAUUUUUAUAAGCUCGAUCAAACAUAGAAGAUUUGACUUCAGAAAAAAAAAUAGUACAACUUAUAUUAUGAAACGGGAGUUAGUAGGUACACCAAUAAUUCGAUAUACGCACAAAAUGCUGGCUGUAGUUCCUUUCAUGGCUCCUUUGAUGUAAGAAAGAUGCUAGUAGAGACUAGAGACAAAGGGAAUCAAAUUAUGGGAGGAGGCGGCCCUAUCUAUAUUCCUCUUCCCCAAGCGGUUGCUCCCGUCCAUCCUUUGCCAAAAGUGGAGCAUCUCCCAUUUCCUUCUUCAUCUUCUCCUCCUCCUCCUUCCUUCGUAUUCACUCACCUAUAAAUAGCCCUCGCUGCCUGCCAUUGUUACUCAAGCCAGCAAGCAAGAAGCACAAAAGAAGCCAACACCAAUCAAGGCCUCCAUCCAAUCCCAAGCAACCUCGAAGAUGUCUUGCUGCGGAGGAAGCUGCGGCUGCGGCAGCGCCUGCAAGUGCGGCAACGGCUGCGGCGGCUGCAACAUGUACCCCGAGGUCGAGGCCGCCGGCGCCACCCUCCUCGUCGCCGCCACCGCCACCCACAAGGCGUACGUCCCUUCUCCUUCCUCAUAUAUCAUGCACUCGAUCGUAACAAUAUGACUGUAUGUUGAUCUUGGUAUGGGUGGGGUACGUGCAGGAGCUCCGGCGGCAUGGAGAUGGCGGCCGAGAACGGCGGCUGCGGCUGCACCCAGUGCAAGUGCGGCACCAGCUGCGGCUGCUCCUGCUGCAGCUGCUAGAUCAUCGGUCAUGCAUGCACCGCGUGCCUCAUAUCUAUGAUCUAUCUAUAUAUCCAUCUACCACCAUGUAACGCUACCUGAUCACGGUCUUUGUAUGUAUGUACGCACCUGCCUGCAUGAGCAGAGCAGGUGCCAUGCCAUGCAUGUAAACCCCUAAAUAAAAUCUCCCGUGGUUUAACCCCCUAUACAUGUGUUUGUGUUAUAGUCUUAUAGACCAACUUCUGGCCCAUGUUUACUAUGAACUUGCGACUUGCGAGGUGCCUGGGUUGUUAAUAGACCAGCUGGAUGCUCUCUUGAAGCAACGUAUGCACCGCUUGGAGUCGGUGUAUCUUUAUACACAUGUAUUUAUUUUACAGGUGUAUAUCAUCGGCCACACCUGGGAAAAAACGAUGGAUGGAGAAGUGUAAAUUUACAGGGGUAUUGCUCUGUGAAACGAGAAUCGAAUCAGGGCCUUAAGGGUAGGGAUGGCAAUGGGUAGGGUAUGGGCGCGUACGACUUUUUUCUGCCCAAACCCAUACCCAAAUCUUUUUUCUAUACCCAUCUAUUUCAAUAUCCAUGGACACAAAUUGGUACCCAUGCCCAUACCUAUCGGGUAUAUUAUACCCAAUGGAUAUCCAAUGGGUAUAGUAUCUAACAUUGGCAUGAUAAAGGUAAGCCAAGAAAAGGGCCUAAAACUAAAUUUAGGUACUCGGCCAUCACAAUCCGGUUUGCACUUACAUCAAAAUUUUACAAUGUGGAUUGACACACAAAUGUCUUAAUCUUCAUUACAAACUAACUUAAAAAAACAAGUUUCAAACUUGCAAUGCCAAUCACUGUAGGUAUUAUAGGGUUUAAUUUAUUUAUUAAUUUUUCUGGGUAUCCAUUAGGAUACCCAUGGGUAUAAUUUCAUACCCAUACCCUACCCAUGCAUUUUGCGGGUAUGGACACCCAUUACCCAUGGGUAUGAAGUAGUAAAAAGUCUUAUCCAUGCCCACUGUUUUCGGGUAGGGUACCCGCGGGUACCCAUACCCAUGGGCAAAACUGCCAUCCCUACUUAAGGGCGUUUGAUACAUGCGAAUAUUACUGGCCAAAGUUGAGUAUGAGAUACAUACAAUACAAACUUGACACUUUUGAAAGUCGUGCUAUCAAUCAUGAGACGCAUAGUUUAGCCAAAUUCUCGCUUAAUCUUUGUCAAAGGGUGUCACAUCUGGUUUGGCCAACCCCAUGAUCCGAUAUGUAUCCUACUCUCUGUGGUUUUCGAUGAAUAAAAUUUGGUUAAACCCUAAAAAAACUUAUUUGACGCGCCUUAGUUUUUUUCGAGAAUUUUUUUUAAAUCCGUUCAUCAAUCAUGGCAGUACAAAAAUCACAACCAGGUCCAUGAACCACCUAGCGACGACUACACUCACUGGAGCGAGCUAAACGUGCGCCGCCAUUAUCGCCCCUCCCUUACCGGAGUCGGACAAACCUUAUUGUAGUAGACAGUUGGAAAGUUAUCGUGCUAAGACCCUCAAGGACCACCGCACUGCAUAGCAACCAUCGUCGAUGAAAAGAGUUGUAGAUUGGAAAGAUCAAAGCUAUAACCACACAAGCGAAGACGAACAAAAAUGGAUCCAAUAGAUCCACCAAAGUCCAGCACGACAGAAUCCUGUGAGAUCCGGCGGGGACACACCUCCACAUGUCCUCCUCCGAUGUUAUUCGCACCACCGGGACGAGGAUCGGAUGUGGGAGACAUUAUUCCUACCCAGGGACAUCACUACCGUCACACAGCCCCAACCAAGACGUUAAACCUAACAAAAACGAGAACGGGUCCCUCCCGCUGCCGGGGGGCCAAGAUCCUCCGCACUCCGGGGAAUCGGCGCCGGCGGCAACGGGAUGAGAAAGGAAACUUUUCUUGAGAAGGAGGAAAGACAGACACAUACUGUUGUGUCUAAAUUACCGUGUCUUAGUUUGAUGUACUAUUUGCACCAGCUACUUCAUAACUAGAUUGCCAUGGUUGACGAUGGGUGUGUUCCCCUCUACUAAUAGUGCGGCAGUGCCCUAGCGGCGACAACUAUAUCAUGAACAAUUAAAACUUCACGAAAUUGGUGGCCUGGUGACUUAUGCCUGUGCCUAUAUCGCACGCUCUUUUGUGAUGACAAAGAAACAGAUUAUCAUUUUCGGAGGUUAAAUGGAAACAGAUGGAGUGAACCACAUGUAUGUUGUACCAGCAAAACAAUAUUUAAAUCGAUUCGUUGAUGAUUUCCUUGAUAUAAAAUUUGAGGUGUGCUCUACAACACCCCACCCUACCCCCGGAGCUCCUAUUUGGCACGCUAAGCGCUAGCGGUCGAGCCCGUGCGCGUCCCCUUCCCUUGCACACCCAUUUGGGUCGGCCCAUGCGCGGGGCGGGACACGCCGUUUUUAUUUUUUAUUUUUCUUUUAUUUAUUUUUUAAAUAAUUCAGGAUUUCAAAAAGUUUCAAAUUUAAAAAAAAUGUCAACUUUGAAAAAACAAAGAAAUCAUAAAAUGUUCAUGGAUUCAAAAAAUAUCUUGAAUUUGAAAGACAUGUCCGGACAUUCCCAAAAUGUUCAUAAAUUUGAACAAAAUGUUCACAAAUUAAAAAACAUGUUCAGAAAACUAAAUAAAUGAUUCUCAAUUACGAAAAUAUUGAAAAAUCAAAAAAUGUUCGUUGAUUCAAAAAAUGUUAAUUAAUUUCGAAAAAUAUUUGUCAAACAAAUAGUAUUCAUGAAUGUCAAAAAUUGUUCCCAGAUUUCAAAAACUAUUUCUUGUCAAAAAUUAUUCAGCAAUUCAAAUGUCCAUGAGUUUUAAAACAAUGUUUACAAUUUUAAAAAAUUCUUAGAUAUAAAAAAAUGUUUGUGAAUUCAAAAAAUAUUCAAGAUUAAAUUAAAUUCAUGAAUUUUUAAACAUGUUCAUGAAUUUGAAAAAUAAUCACAACAAAACAAUGUUCAUGCAAUUGGAAAAUGCUCACAAUUUAAAUAAUGUUAAAAAUCAUUAAAAAGUUCAUAAAUUUGAAAAUAAGUUCAAAAAAUGAAAGACUGAAAAAAGAAAAGAAAAACUGACAUCAAAAUAGGAAAAUAUAAAUAAGGUAAAAACGAAAACGAAAAAUAGAAAUGAAAUAAUGAAAAUGAAAAAACAAAAAUAACCCGAAAGGAAAAAACUGGUAUGGAAAGGUUCUAGAACGUUCCCAAAACCGAAAAGGAGGUACUUGGGCCGCCCCAAAAUGUGUACCUAGUGGGAGGGGCGUAUGCGCUAGGAUUAGCCCCCUAAAAAGCUUCACAACUUUUGAGCAGAUCAAUGGUCUAGAUUAAAACAUGUCCUUUACUUUAGAAGGGGUAAUAUAAAAAAUUCACAUUAUAAAAACACUUGCAAUAAAAAAGAUAACGGGCGCUCUAGAAACCCAUGGCGGCUAGUGCGACUUGUUUGGAGCUAUUCGUCUCCUUCCCAACCCUUAUCCACUACCCCGGUCGUCCAUGUAUCUGUCAAAAGUGUUAGAUGAAGGAAAUAUGCCCUAUAGGCAAUAAUAAAGUUAUUAUUUAUUUCCUUAUUUCAUGAUAAAUGUUUAUUAUUCAUGCUAGAUUUGUAUUAACCGGAAACAUAAUACAUGUGUGAAUACAUAGACAAACAUAGUGUCACUAGUAUGCCUCUACUUGACUAGCCCGUUAAUCAAAGAUGGUUAAGUUUCCUAACCAUAGACAUGAGUUGUCAUUUGAUUAACGAGAGCACAUCAUUAGGAGAAUGAUAUGAUUGACUUGACCCAUUCCGUUAGCUUAGCACUUGAUCGUUUAGUAUUCUGCUAUUGCUUUCUUCAUGACUUAUACAUGUUCCUAUGACUAUGAGAUUAUGCAACUCCCGUUUACCGGAGGAACACUUUGUGUGCUAUCAAACGUGACAACGUAACUGGGUGAUUAUAAAGGUGCUCUACAGGUGUCUCCGAAGGUACUUGUUGGGUUGGCGUAUUUCGAGAUUAGGAUUUGUCACUCCGAUUGCCGGAGAGGUAUCUCUGGCCCACUCGGUAAUACACAUCACUUAAGCCUUGCAAGCAUUGCAACUAAUGAGUUAGUUGCGGGAUGAUGUGUUAUGGAACGAGUAAAGAGACUUGCCGGUAACGAAAUUGAACUAGGUAUUGAGAUACGGACGAUCGAAUCUCGGGCAAGUAACAUACCGAUGGCAAAGGGAACAACGUAUGUUGUUAUGCGGUUUGACCGAUAAAGAUCUUCGUAGAAUAUGUAGGAGCCAAUAUGAGCAUCCAUGUUCCGCUAUUGGUUACUGACCGGAGACGUGUCUCGGUCAUGUCUACAUAGUUCUCGAACCCGUAGGGUCCGCACGCUUAAAGUUCGAUGACGGUUAUAUUAUGAGUUUAUGGUUUUUGAUGUACCGAAGGUAAUUCGGAGUCCUGGAUGUGAUCACGGACAAGACGAGGAGUCUCGAAAUGUUUGAUACGUAAAGAUCAAUAUAUUGGACGACUAUAUUUGGAUAUCGGAAUGGUUCCGGGUGAGAUCAGGAUAAUACCGGAGCACCGGGAGGUUAUUGGAACCCUCCCCCCCGGAGGUAUAUGGGCCUUAAUGGGCUUUAGUGGAAAGGAGGGAAAAGGAGCAAGGGAGGGGGCGCCCCCCCCCCCCCCAAGCCCAAUCCGAAUAGGGAAGGGGGCCACCCCCCUUUCCUUCCUCCCUCCUUCCUCUUCCUUCCCUCCCCCUCUCCAAAUAGGAAAAGGAGGAGUCCUACUCCCGAUGGGAGUAGGACUCCCCCCUUGGGCGCGCCUCCUCCCCUUGACCAGCCCUCUCCUCCCCUCCUUUAUAUACGGAGGAGAGGGGCACCCCAUAGACAGAACAAUUGAUCUCUUGGAUCUUUUAGCCGUGUGCGGUGCCCCUCUCCACCAUAGUCCACCUCGAUAAUAUCGUAGCGGUGCUUAGGCGAAGCCCUGCGACGGUAGAACAACAUCGUCACCACGCCCUCGUGCUGAUAGAACUCUCCCUCACAGCUCGGCUGGAUAGGAGUUCGAGGGAUGAAACCGAGUUGAACGUGUGCAGAACUCGGAGGUGCCGUGCGUUCGGUACUUGAUCGGUCGGAUCGUGAAGACAUACGACUACAUCAACCGCGUUGUGCUAAUGCUUCCGCUUUCGGUCUACAAGGGUACGCGGACACACUCUCCCCUCUCGUUGCUAUGCAUCACCAUGAUCUUGCAUGUGCGUAGGAAAUUUUUUGAAAUUACUACGUUACCCAACAGUGGUAUCAGAGCCAGGUUUUAUGCGUUGAUGUUAUAUGCACGAGUAGAAAACAAGUGAGUUGUGGGCGAUACAAGUCAUACUGCUUACCAGCAUGUCAUACUUUGGUUCGGCGGUAUUGUUGGAUGAAGCGGCCCGGACCGACAUUACGCGUACGCUUACGCGAGACUGGUUCUACCGACGUGCUUUGCACACAAGUGGCUGGCGGGUGUCAGUUUCUUCAACUUUAGUUGAACCGAGUGUGGCUACGCCCGGUCCUUGAGAAGGUUAAAACAGCACUAACCUGACGAACUAUCGUUGUGGUUUUGAUGCGUAGGUAAGAACGGUUCUUGCUCAGCCCGUAGCAGCCACGUAAAACUUGCAACAACAAAGUAGAGAACGUCUAACUUGUUUUUGCAGGGCAUGUUGUGAUGUGAUAUGGUCAAGACAUGAUGCUAUAUUUUAUUAUAUGAGAUGAUCAUGUUUUGUAAUCGAGUUAUCGGCAACUGGCAAGAGCCAUAUGGUUAUCGCUUUAUUGUAUGCAAUGCAAUCGCCCUGUAAUUGCUCUACUUUAUCACUAGGCGGUAGCGAUAGUCAUAGAAGCAAUAGUUGGCGAGACGACAAUGAUGCUACGAUGGAGAUCAAGGUGUCGCACUGGUGACGAUGGUGAUCAUGACGGUGCUUCGGAGAUUGAGAUCACAAGCACAAGAUGAUGAUGGCCAUAUCAUAUCACUUAUAUUGAUUGCAUGUGAUGUUUAUCUUUUAUGCAUCUUAUUUUGCUUUGAUUGACGGUAGCAUUAUAAGAUGAUCUCUCACUAAAUUUCAAGAUAAAAGUAUUCUCCCUGAGUAUGCACCGUUGCCAAAGUUCGUCGUGCCCAGACACCAUGUGAUGAUCGGGUAUGAUAAGCUCUAUGUCCAUCUACAACGGGUGCAAGCCAGUUUUGCACACGCAGAAUACUCAGGUUAAACUUGACGAGCCUAGCAUAUGCAGAUAUGGCCUUGGAACACCGAGACCGAAAAGUCGAGCUUGAAUCAUAUAGUACAUAUGAUCAACAUAAUGAUGUUCACCAUUGAAAACUACUCCAUUUCACGUGAUGAUCAGUUAUGGUUUAGUUGAUUUGGAUCACAUGAUCACUUAGAUGAUUAGAGAGAUGUCUAUCUAAGUGGGAGUUCUUAAAGUAAUAUGGUUAAUUGGACUUUAAUUUAUCUUGAACUUAGUCCUGGUAGUAUUAGCAUAUCUAUGUUGUAUAUCAAUAGCUCGCGUUUAGCUCCCCUGUUUUAUUUUUGAUAUGUUCCUAGAGAAAACUAAGUUGAAAGAUGUUAAUAGCAAUGAUGCGGAUUGGAUCCGUGAUCUGAGGAUUAUCCUCACUGUUGCACAGAAAUAUUAUGUCCUUGAUGCACCGCUAGGUCACAGACCUAUUGCAGGAGCAGAUGCUGACGUUAUGAACAUUUUGACAAAAGCUCGGUAUGAUGACUACUUGAUAGUUUAGUGCACCAUGCUUUACGACUUAGAACCGGGACUUCAAAAAUGUUUUGAACGCCACGGAGCAUAUAAGAUAUUCCAAGAAUUGAAAUUGGUAUUUCAUACUCAUGCCAGUGUCGAGAGGUAUGAGACCUCUGACAUUACUUUGCCUACAAGAUGGAGGAGAAUAGCUCAACCAGUAAGCAUGUGCUCAGAUUGUCUGAGUACUACAAUCACUUGAAUCAAGUGGGAGUUAAUCUUCUAGAUAAUAUAGUGAUUGACAGAGUUCUCUAGUCACUAUCACCAAGUUGUUAGAACUUCAUGAUGAACUAUAAUAUGCAAGGGAUAACGGAAACGAUUCCCAAGCUCUUCAUGAUGCUGAAAUCGACGAAGGUAAAAAUCAAGAAAAGCAUCAAGUGUUGAUGGUUAACAAGACCACUAUUUUCAAGAAAAGGGCAAAUGGAAUAAGGGGAAUUUCAAGAAGAACGGCAAGCAAGUUGCUGCUCAAGUGAAGAAGCCCAAAUCUAGACCUAAGCCUGAGACUAAGUGCUUUUACUGCAAAGGGACUAGUCACUGGAAGUGGAACUGCCCCAAGUAUUUGGCAGAUAAGAAGGAUGGCAAAGUGAACAAAGGUAUAUUGGAUAUACAUGUUAUUGAUGUGUACUUUACUAGUGUUUAUAGCAACCCCUCAGUAUUUGAUACUAGUUCAGUUGCUAAGAGUAGUAACUUGAAAUGGUAGUUGGACAAUGAACAGAGACUAGUUAAGGGUGGAGCAACGAUGUGUGUUGGAAGUAGUUCCAAGAAUGAUAUGAUCGUCAUCGCACACUCCCUAUACUUUCAGGAUUAGUGUUGAACCUAAAUAAGUGUUAUUUGGUGUUUUCGUUGAGCAUGAAUAUGAUUUGAUCAUGUUUAUUGCAAUACGGUUAUUCAUUUAAGUUAGAGAAUAAUUGUUAUUCUGUUUACAUGAAUAAAACCUUCUAUGGUUAUACACCCAAUGAAAAUGGUUUGUUGAAUCUUGAUUGUAGUGAUACACAUAUUCAUAAUAUUGAAGCCAAAAGAUGCAAAGUUAAUAAUGAUAGUGCAACUUAUUUGUGGCACUGUCGUUUAGGUCAUAUUGGUGUAAAGCGCAUGAAGAAAAUCCAUGCUGAUGGGCUUUUGGAAUCACUUGAAUAUAAAUCAGUUGAUGCUUGCGAACCAUGCCUCAAGGGUAAAGAGGACUAAGACUCCGUUCUCCAGAACAAUGGAGCGAGGAACUGACUUAUUGGAUAUAAUACAUACUGAUGUAUGAGGUCCGAUGAGUGUUGAGGCUCGCGGCGGGUAUCGUUAUUUUCUGACCUUCACAGAUAAUUUGAGCAGAUAUGGGUAUAUCUACUUGAAGAAACAUAAGUCCGAAACAUUUGAAAAGUUUAAAGAAUUUCAGAGUGAAGUGGAAAAUCAUCGUAACAAGAAAAUAAAGUUUCUACGAUCUGAUCGUAGAGGCAAAUAUUUGAGUUACGAGUUUGGUCUUCAAUUAAAACAAUAUGGAAUAGUUUCACAAACUCAUGCCACCUGGAACACCAUAGCGUAAUGGUGUGUCCGAAAGUCAUAACUGUGCUUUAUUUGAUAUAGUGCAAUCUAUGAUGUCUCAUACCGAUUUACCACUAUCAUUUUGGGGUUAUGCAUUAGAGAUAGCUGCAUUCACAUUAAAAAGGGCACCAUCUAAAUCUGUUGAGAUAACACCGUAUGAACUGUGGUUUAGCAAGAAACCUAAGGUGUCGUUUCUUAAAGUUUGGGGUUGCGAUGCUUAUGUGAAAAAGGUUUAUCUUGAUAAGCUCAAACCCAAAUCGAAGAAGUGCGUCUUCAUAGGAUACCCAAAAGUAACUGUUGGGUACACCUUCUAUCACAGAUCCGAAGGCAAGAUAUUUGCUGCUGAGAAUAGAUCCUUUCUAGAGAAGGAGUUUCUCUCGAAAGAAGUGAGUGGGAGGAAAGUAGAACUUGAUGAGGUAACUGUACCUGCUCCCUUAUUGGAAAGUAGUUCAUCACAGAAAUCUGUUUCUGUGACUCCUACACCAAUUAGUGAGGAAACUAAUGAUGAUGAUCAUGUAACUUCAGAUCAAGUUAUUACCAAACCUCUUAGGUCAACCAGAGUGAGAUCCGCACCAGAGUGGUACGGUAAUCCUGUUCUGGAGGUCACGUUAAUUGACCAUGACGAACCUACGAACUAUGAGGAAGCGAUGAUGAGCCCAGAUUCCGCGAAAUGGCUUGAGGCAUGAAAUCUAAUAUGGGAUCCAUGUAUGAGAACAAAGUGUGGACUUUGGUUAACUUGCCCGAUGAUCGGCAAGCCAUAGAAAAUAAAUGGAUCUUCAAGAGGAAGACGGACAGUGAUAGUAGUGUUGCUAUCUACAAAGCUCGAAUUGUCGCAAAAUGUUUUCGACAAGUUCAAGGUGUUGACUACGAUGAGAUUUUCUCACUCGUAUCGAUGCUUAAGUCCGUCCGAAUCAUGUUAGCAAUUGCCGCAUUUUAUGAUUAUGAAAUUUGGCAAAUGGAUGUAAAGACUGCAUUCCUGAAUGGAUUUCUGGAAGAAGAGUUGUAUAUGAUGCAACCUGAAGGUUUUGUCGAUCCUAAAGGUGCUAACAAAGUGAGCAACCUCCAGCGAUCCAUCAAUGGACUGGUGCAAGCUUCUCGAAGUUGGAAUAAACGUUUUGAUAGUGUGAUCAAAGCAUAUGGUUUUAUACAGACUUGCGGUGAAGCCUGUAUUUACAAGAAAGUGAGUGGGAGCACUACAACAUUUCUAAUAAGAAGUGUGAAUGACAUAUUGUUGAUCGGAAAUAAUGUAGAAUUUUCUGGAAAGCAUAAAGAAGUAUUUGAAAUGAGUUUCUCAAAUAAAGACCUCGAUGAAGCUACUUACAUAUUGAGCAUCAAGAUCUAUAGAGAUAGAUCAAGACGCUUGAUAAGUUUUUUCAAUGAGUGCAUACCUUGACAAGAUUUUGAAGUAGUUCAAAAUGGAACAGUCAAAGAAAGAGAUCUUACCUGUGUUACAAGGUGUGAAAUUGAGUAAGACUCAAAGCCCGACCACGGCAGAAGAUAGAAAGAGAAUGAAAGUCAUUCCCUAUGCCUCAACCAUAGUUUCUAUAAAGUAUGCCAUGCUGUGUACCAGAUCUAUUGUAUACCCUACACUGAGUUUAGCAAUGGAAUACAAUAGUGAUCUAGGAGUAGAUCACUGGAUAGCGGUCAAAAUUAUCCUUAGUGGAAUAAGGAAAUAUUUCUCGACUAUGGAGGUGAUAAAAGAGUUCGUCGUAAAGAGUUACGUCGAUGCAAGCUUUUUACAUCGAUCUAGAUGACUCUAAGUCUCGAUCUGGAUACAUAUUAAAAGUGGGAGCAAUUAGCUAGAGUAGCUCCAUGCAAAGCAUUGUUGACACAGAAAUUUUCAAAAUACAUAUGGAUCUGAAUGUGGCAGACCCGUAGACUAAACUUCUCUCACAAGUAAAACAUGAUCACACCUUAGUACUCUUUGGGUGUUAAUCGCAUAGCGAUGUGAACUAGAUUAUUGACUCUAGUAAACCCUUUGGGUGUUGAUCACAUGACGAUGUGAACUAUGGGUGUUAAUCACAUGGUGAUGUGAACUAUUGGUGUUAAAUCACAUGGCGAUGUGAACUAGAUUAUUGACUCUAGUGCAAGUGGGAGACUGAAGGAAAUAUGCCCUAGAGCCAAUAAUAAAGUUAUUAUUUAUUUCCUUAUUUCAUGAUAAAUGUUUAUUAUUCAUGCUAGAUUUGUAUUAACCGGAAACAUAAUACAUGUGUGAAUACAUAGACAAACAUAGUGUCACUAGUAUGCCUCUACUUGACUAGCUCGCUAAUCAAAGAUGGUUAAGUUUCCUAACCAUAGACAUGAGUUGUCAUUUGAUUAACGGGAUCACAUCAUUAGGAGAAUGAUAUGAUUGACUUGACCCAUUCCGUUAGCUUAGCACUUGAUCGUUUAGUAUUCUGCUAUUGCUUUCUUCAUGACUUAUACAUGUUCCUAUGACUAUGAGAUUAUGCAACUCCCGUUUACCAGAGGAACACUUUGUGUGCUACCAAACGUCACAACGUAACAGGGUGAUUAUAAAGGUGCUCUACAGGUGUCUCCGAAGUUACUUGUUGGGUUGGCGUAUUUCGAGAUUAGGAUUUGUCACUCCGAUUGUCGGAGAGGUAUCUCUGGCCCCUCGGUAAUACACAUCACUUAAGCCUUGCAAGCAUUGCAACUAAUGAGUUAGUUGCGGGAUAAUGUGUUAUGGAACGAGUAAAGAGACUUGCCAGUAACGAGAUUGAACUAGGUAUUGAGAUACCGACGAUCGAAUCUCGGGCAAGUAACAUACCGAUGGCAAAGGGAACAACGUAUGUUGUUAUGCGGUUUGACCGAUAAAGAUCUUCGUAGAAUAUGUAGGAGCUAAUAUGAGCAUCCAUGUUCCGCUAUUGGUUAUUGAACGGAGACGUGUCUCAGUCAUGUCUACAUAGUUCUCGAACCCGUAGGGUCCGCACGCUUAAAGUUCGAUGACGGCUAUAUUUUGAGUUUAUGGUUUUUGAUGAACCGAAGGUAAUUCAGAGUCCUGGAUGUGAUCACGGACAAGACGAGGAGUCUCGAAAUGUUCGAGACGUAAAGAUCGAUAUAUUGGACGACUAUAUUUGGAUACCAGAAUGGUUCCGGGUGAGAUCGGGAUAAUACCGGAGCACCGGGAGGUUAUCGGACCCCCCCGGAGGUAUAUGGGCCUUAAUGGGCUUUAGUGGAAAGGAGGUAAAAGGAGAAAGGGAGGGGGCGCCCCCCCCCCCCCAAGCCCAACCCGAACUGGGAAGCCCCCCCCCUUUCCUUCCUCCCUCCUUCCUCUUCCUUCCCUCUCCCUCUCCAAAUAGGAAAAGGAGGAGUCCUACUCCCGGUGGGAGUAGGACUCCCCCCUUGGGCGCACCUCCUCCCCUUGGCCGGCCCUCUCCUCCCCUCCUUUAUAUACGGAGGAGAGGGGCACCCCAUAGACACAACAAUUUAUCUCUUGGAUCUUUUUGCUGUGUGCGGUGCCCCUCUCCACCAUAGUCCACCUCGAUAAUAUUGUAGCGGUACUUAGGCGAAGCCCUGUGACGGUAGAACAUCAACAUCGUCACCACGCCGUUGUGCUGAAGGAACUCUCCCUCAAAGCUCGGCUGGAUCGGAGUUUGAGGGACGUCAUCGAGUUGAACGUGUGCAGAACUCAGAGGUGCCGUGCGUUCGGUACUUGAUCGGUCGGAUCGUGAAGACAUACGACUACAUCAACCGCAUUGUGCUAAUGCUUUCGCUUGCGGUCUACAAGGGUACACGGACACACUCUCCCCUCUCGUUGUUAUGCAUCACCAUGAUCUUGCGUGUGCGUAGGAUUUCUUUUUAAAUUACUAUGUUACCCAACAUUAGACUCCUCCACUUUAUCUUACUCCUCACAUUCCCAUCAUCCGACAUAGUAUGACGACAUCUCAGCCCCUUGUAUUCACAUCACACGGUGUUCAAAUCGCACGAGCCACGAGGCCUUGUUUUUUAAACAGAAGUGGUGUACCCAAGCACCCCUAAUGAAAUUGGCGUUCCCUUGAUCCAAAGAAAAAAAGAGUAAAAAGAAACCAAACACUCCCCCCCCCACAUACACCUCCAGCGUUCCUAUGCACCGAAUUGUACACAACCAAUAGUUUCUACAUUGCUACACAUGAAUGAUGCUUACAGUUGAAAUAAAAGGCAACUCAUUGUCGCUUACAACUAAAUAGCAAAAGGAUACUAGGAGUAGAGUUUGACAUAGGCUAGAGUAAGUGCAUUAUAUAUCCUUAUUUCUGUUUCGCAAUUUUUUUUCCUUAUUUCUAGUGUGUGAUUGCCACCCAAGAUUGCAAUAGAACACCAGGUCAACUGACAAUCCAAUCCCUGGUGUUCUAUUAUAUGUCGAGUUAAAUACUAAAAAGUGCUACUAGGAGUAGAGUAUGAGAUGAACGAGAGUAAGUGCAUUAUGUAUAUCCUCAAUUAUAGUGUGCGGUCACCACCCAAGAUUGCAACAGAACACCAAUUUGGCUGACGAAACCAAUCUAGUCCAAUCGCUUAUUGAACUAAAAGUCGGUAUAUGUACUUAGGAGUUGCCUAACUAAAGCAUGCGGUUCAACUUGAUAGAUCUAGUAAGAUUCAACUCGAUAAUCGUUUAAUUCCUAAUGGUUUCUAUAAAAAAUAGUUACAAUAACUAACUCAAACGAAAUAUAAGCGAACAAUCAAACAUCGACCGGCUCACAUGGCUUCCAAAUAAAACUAAUUAACAGAUCGAGUAAUACAUUGUUUAUUCCUUGCUCUUAAUAUGAGGUUAUACAUAACAUAUUUUGGUCCAUCCUGAAGUAAGUAUUACGUAACAAGUACUAGCUAGUAUUUCAGUCUCUACUAGCAAAUGUUGCAAUAGCAAACAGCCUUGAUGGCGUUCUUCUUAUCACAGUGGUAGUCCUUGAGGCUGCCCUUCCUAUCACGUGCAAACACGUCACACGUGGCCUUGCAUAGAGGCUUGGUGCAGAAAAACUCCCCGCCGUCGUCAACGACCGCGAAAUUGUGCUGCACAACACCAAGAAAACACAAACCAUUAUAUUAGAAUAUUAGCGACAAACCCCCAUUAGAUUAGAUUAUACGUAUUUGACAAACACAAUUAAACACACCUGCAGAAAUAGGAGUACCCACAAGUGUUAGCACCACGAGGAAGCAAACAAUAGCAGCCCGUGUGUCCAUCCCAAGAGUUCUCUCCUUUUUUGAACUAGAAGGAAAAAUAUGUGUUCUCUUCGUCUAUUUUAAUUUGGCUAUGGGACUAAUGUUUAUGUCUUGAAGUGCUUGGAGUGUUGUCUUAUAUAGACUUAUUGAAAGGGACAAAAAUAAAAGCAUUUAAAUGAUUGUUAAACUUAGCAAAAGAGAUAGAGGUGAGUCACACCCCAAAAAUGGAAGCACUUAAUGCUGGGUGAGAAAUUAAAUGACGAAGGCAAAGAAUAUAUGAGUGAUGUUUAUCCAAUAAUCAAGGCUUUAAUUUUCGACUACAAAAUAAGCAUGACCAUUCAAAAAAUGGAGUCAUCUUUUUGUCGCUGGUGACAUUGAUCAAACAUGGUUUUUUAUAAAAAAAAAUGUAUAGCCACUUUAAUUGCAAACACCAUUGUGCAUUGAAAUUCAGUUGACUUCAACAAAACAAUCAAUAUGAAUUGCAUGCUUGAUAUGUAACCAACUAAAACUAAAAUUGUAUGUUGUCUCGAGUUGACUAAAUCACCAUUUUUGGCUAGACAAUGUUUAAAACUGUGUCAACUGUGUCAAUUUGCACGGCGCCUGGGACAAUGCAAUGUCAAAUCUUGCACUAUUUUAAACCACCACAAGAUAAGCAAGCUGAGUUGGCCCGGGCCUCUUGCCAGACGCUGGCAUCCACCUCGAAAUCUAUAUCAAUAUAUUUUUUGUAUCACAUGAAUCAUAUAGUAUUGGUCUAAAAUAUAUUUUCUCUUGUUGCAAAAUAUGAAAGAAAAAUCGGCACAACAAUAUUAUAUAGACCCAUCGCAACAAUAGCAUGCUUCACAGUCGGUGGGUCCCAUGUAAAGACAUUUGGAAAUACCUCAAAAAUGCAUAUGUGUACUAUUUAUUAUUGUCCAAGAAUUUCACAUGCUCACUCACAACAAACUGUUGAAGAAUUCCGUGCAACUUAGAAACUAACGUAUGCAACAACGCGAGCACAACAUUUGUGUUAGGACUAACAAAAUUACAUUACAUUGUAGCAUGUCACACAUGUGUAUGUAGUAUGACGCAAAUGAGUUCACAGCAUACCAAAACAACGAAUGGUAACUACAAAAAAUUCCCAUAAAUCUAACAUUUUACAACCAAAAAAUUUGGUGGGCACUGACCUCACCUCAUCAAACUUGCUCUAAUAUUCUAGUUAGUGUAGAGUUUUGGAUUAAGCUAAAGUUGCUCUAGUAUUAUGCCACAACAAAAAGGAAAGAAAUGGGGGAAAACAAAGAAGAGCGGAGCAGGGUGGCUUACUCGGAUCUAAGUCGGCCAAUAUCAAUCGCAUUGCCCUCCUAAAUCCUGAUUACUCAAGCCAGCCCAAAAUUGAGGGGCUACUAAAAUAGAAGUUGAGCCUAUGGUGCAAGAACAGAAAAGCCAUUGGAUUGGAUAUGGAUAGCACAUGAUCUGGUGGAGCGAUCUCAGGCCACUUUUUGUAUAUUUUAUGAAAAAACCCUAUUAACAGUUAGGUACAAAACAAAACAUUCGCAGUGACCACCUUAAGUAUCUCAUCUCCCAAUCCAAUAGUGGAGUUAACGACCAUUUACAGAUUUCAGGUUUUUUCCAGCGACCAUUUAUAGAAUUUGCACAACCUCAUAUCCUAUCAGUUUUAUAAAAUAUAUUUUCACAUACCGAGCACAAAUAUAUGGUUGUAAGAAUGAAGAACUCAUACUCAUGCUUGUUUUAAUUCUAGUAUUUACACCCCUAAGGUUGUUAAGGUCCGGUUACAAAAACUCGAAUUUAAUUCUCUUAUAAGAACUUGUUAGAGUCCUGUCAUAGUGCACAUCCUCUCGUGGAUUCGAUAACUCAAGGUUGCUCCUUCGGGAAAAGGGAGGGAAACCUUUGUUGUCCAAACCGGAUCUCAAAGAGCACCACCCAUCUCUCACCCUACUCGAUGAUACAACAUCGACGACCAGGUACGUGUGUAACCAACCGUCUGCUCCCUCGCUCUGUCACUGUGGUGCUAUUCAUUACAUCAAGUCGGGACCCAUUUCCUUCCUUUUGAGGUUAACAAUUAAGGUUUCUAGUCUAUAUGAGGGCCUUCGGAUUCAACUUAUAAGAAUGUUAGUUCAAAUUUAAUGAUGAUUAUUUCAAGUGGAUGGUUAUGUGAACUAGGUUGGUAGAGUGGUGGCCGACCACUGUUGCGGCGGACUUCAGGGAUGUUUGAUCUAUCCACCUGGCUUGAUCAAGCAGCGUCGACAUUUGUGCAUCAUUAUUUUGUUGAAUAUGUUCGUUCGAUUUGCUUGUUGCAGGGGUGAUAGCCUCUGGUCCGACGUUUGGUUACACGAGACAAUAAGCUCCCCUUGCAAAAGUGUAUGAUGUGGGAAUUACGUGUUGUACUCCUCAGGUGCAAACGCACGUAUAUAUGAUGUACAGGAGUAGGCCACGACCUCAAUUAUACAAGGCAACUAGGAGGUGGGCCCAAUACACAAAUAUGCACAACAAAGACUGGACCGGAACUCCUCAAAAUGAUGCCGUAGGCAAGUCCUUGGUCAUGGUAUAUGCAAAUUGUUGGGAAGUAGGGACGUGUAAAACACGAAUAUGGCCAAGGGCCACCUAUUCCCGAACAAAAUGAAUAUCCAACUCAAUAUGCUUGGUCCGUCGAUGAUGCACCGGGUUAGCGGAGAGGUAGACUGCCGAGACGUUGUCGCAAUAGACCACCGUGGCACGGUCAACAGGGAAAGAGAGCUCCUGAAGCAGCUGGCGAAGCCACGAACACUCGGCGACGGUGUUGGCCACCGCAGGAUACUCAGCCUCAGCGUUGGAACGAGAGACCGUAGGCUGCCGCGUGGAUGACCACGAGAUAAGUGAGGGUCCAAGGUAGACACAAUAGCCCGAGGUGGAGCGACGAGUUUUAGGGCAGCCCGCCCAGUCUGCAUUGAAGUAGGCGGCGAGGGCAGUGUCGGCGGAGGCAUGAAGCGUGACACCAAGAUCCAUAGUGCCACAGACAUAGCGGAGAAUCCGUUUGACAACGGCCCAGUGCAUCUCGAGGAGCAUGCAUAUGAAGACACACCUGCUGCACGACAUACUGGAUCUCUGGUUGAGUUAAAGUGAGGUACUGAAGAGCACCAACAAUAGACCGAUAAAAAGCAGCAUCCGAAGCAGGAGAACCAUCCGUGGCAGAAAGCUUGGCCUUUGUAUAAACAGGCGUAGCAGCGGGCUUGUAGUUAAGCAUGUUGGCCCGCUCCAGGAGCUCAUGAGCAUACUUCCGCUGAUGAAAGAAGAAGCCAUCCGGACGGCACACCACCUCGACACCGAGGAAGUUGUGCAAAGGACCCAAGUCCUUGAUGGCAAACUCAGCGCGAAGACGAGCCAUGAGCUGACCGAGGAGACCAACCAUACAUGCCGUCAGGAUGACGUCGUCGACAUAGAGCAGAAAGUAGGCCGUGUUAGAGCCCUGAUGAUAGACGAAGAGCGAGGCGUCCGAGCGGGUGGAGCGGAACCCAAGCUGGUGGAGAAACGCUGCGAUGCGCUGGUACCAAGCACGCAGAGCCUUCUUAAGUUCAUACAAGGACCGCGAAAGCAGGCACACGUGGUCGGGAAGCGCCGGGUCAACAAACCCGGUGUGCUGCUGGCAGAAGACCUGCUACUCCAGGUGACCAUGGAGCAAGGCGUUGGAGACGUCCAUCUGGUGCACCGGCCAAGCACGGGAGACUGCAAGGUGGAGAACCGUGUGUAUCGUGUCGGGCUUGACGACCAGAGCGAAGGUGUCGAUGAAGUCGAUGCCAGCACGCUGUCGGAAGCCACGAACGACCCAACGCGGUUUGUAGCGAUCAAAGGUACCAUCGGGACGGAGGUUGUGUUUGAAGACCCACUUCCCGGUAAUCACGUUGGCGUGCUGAGGACAGGAAACAAACAUAGAAGAUUUGACUUUAGAAAAAAAAUAGUACAACUUAUCUAUACCUAAUAUUAAAGGACGGAGAUUUUUAUAGUUCUCCAUACAUCUAACUUUAUUAAUAGUCUUCAUCGGCCCACCGGAGCAAGACAAUAAGUAGGCCUGGAAACACUCGAUUCAAUGGGCCUGAAAAAUAAACGGGCAUGCAUCCUCUCUCGCUCAUCUCUCUCCUCUCGAACCCCUCAUAAAAAAUUUCUCUCCUCUCGAUCCCUUCGCUCUCUACUACGAGCGCUCCUGGGGCAGACAUGUUCUCCCUUCUCUCUACCGCUGCGGAUGGCCCAACUUGACUCCGAGACGAACUCUGCUCGAGCACGCACCCAUAGGGUGUCCCGACAGGUUCUUUGCGGUUCCGCAGGCUGGUCUAGGAACAUAUAGAAACAAAUUGACGCCAUCAAACGAAGCCCCAGCUCAAUUGCCUGGUUGCGGAGUGCGGCGGCAUGUCGAGCCGAACGCCGGCAAGAUCAUACAGGAUGAGGCAGUAGAUGCCAACGAUAGUGUGCGUCACCCAACUCGACGCAGGCGAGGAAGAUGAGCAGGACGGCGUUGGAGCUCAGCAGGGCGCCGACGAGAACGUACGGGAAGAGGCGGUAGACGCCGAUGGCGGUGUAGGUAACCCACCCAGCUCGACGAAGGUGAGGAAGAUGAGUAGGACGGGGGGUAGCCGGGGAUUUGAAGAGGACUCGGAAGGGCUACACGAGCAUGACCAGGUCGUCACUGAAUCGGAUCCGUCACCUCAUGCGGCUGAGCUGUUAGAGGACGAUGCAGAGGCUCUGGUCAAAGGCGACCAUGAUGGAUGUGUCACCGCCGGCCACGCGAUAGAGGAAGAAGGUGAGGCUCAAGAGCCGGCCAGCCGAGUGGACGUGCCGGUGCAGUUGUGACCGCUCGGGAGGUUGAAGGCAAGCGAGGGAGCUCAUGCGGCGACGUCGGCAAGGCUCGGUGGCGAGAUAGCGCAGAAGAGCGGUGCAGCGGAGCGACAACCACGAUGCUAGGGCGUUGCGGAGAGAAAGGAUGAAGAGAGAUAGGGCAAGGGAGUCCUACUGCUGGUGGAGGCACGCAGGAGGAGCUCGAGCAUCAGUUGGCGGGCGAAGCAAGGAGUCGCAGGGCUUUCCAGCGACUAUGAUGGUGCGGGUUGAUCUGGGGAGGCUGGGAGAGCUGCCUCCUAGGGGCGCUGGUUCGGGUUGACGUGUGCGUCAUGUGCACUGCUACAAAAUUGCUGGAUAUGUGUAUCUAUAUGUGUGCGGCUGCGAUUUGAAAGUCGUAGCAAUGCACAGGCUUAUAAUUAAAUAAUUAUAUAUCUUUACUUGUUCAGUAGCAACACAUGCUAGCAAGCAGCAGAGACAGUAUACUAUGUUGGCGAUCAUUUGGCGAGCGAGCAGUUGAAUUGCUGCUGGCAUGCAUUGUGCAGGGGCAUGUUCGCUUGGGUCUUGGGACGAAAUCGACUGAGUCAAUAAAUAAUUUUUUAAAAGGAUAUUAGACCCUCGGCCUCUGCAUCAUUCAUUAUGAUGCACACAAAUAUUUUUAGCAAAGUUAGCCAUGGGUCGAACCAUUAGAUAUCAAAUAGACAUCUACAACUAAGUCGACUUCUGCUGCAACAUCUCUUCAAGAAGGGAUAAACUUUCUCGCCAUCGACCGAAACAAUCCGUAAGAAGAAGAAAAUGAUCACACAUGUGAAACAUAAUUGUCAAUACAAAUACAUGACACAUGGUGGUACGAACACACAUCACGAUGGAAGAAUACCAGCAACUUAAAAGCAAGCCUACAUCAAAUCUAUAUUUCAUUAGUAUUUAGUCCAUAUUUUUAUUUCUAUCAACCUAAACUCCAAUUACGUUAAAAUUUAGGUUUGAACUGCAGAUAUGAGAUUUCGAAUUUAAAGAUUGAACGUAUAUUUAAAGUUCUCAUAGUAUGUGUCUAUUUUUUGGGGUGUCUUUUUACUCGAUAGGAAUCCAAUUCAAUGCUCAAAAUCAAAUAACAAGAUUAUUGCUACAUAUUUUGAUAAAGCUAAAUUUUACUUGAAUUUUGGAUGUAGUUUAGACAAAUAAUUCUCACUAAAUCUUACUAUGGGCCAAUUUUUCUCUACCGUUGCAACACACCGGAUCGAGAGUUUCCAAGAAAACAUUGUCAGUCAGAUGCAUUUACUCCAGAUCAUAACUCAUGUCCUAAGCUUCACGUCGUGAUCCUCAAAUCAUGCAUCUUUUUAUUUUCUCAUCAUCAACCGUUGUGACAUGACACAGUUCCUCGACCUGGCCAACCAUGGUUCAUAGGAACUGGUAUAUUUCUCCCGCUGCAACGCACGGGCAUUCGUGCUAGUAUUUUGAAACGGGAGUUAGUAGGUACACCAAUAAUUCGAUAUACCCACAAAAUGCUGGCUCUAGUUCCUUUCAUGGCUCCUUUGAUGUAAGAAAGAUGCUAGUAGUGACUAGAGACAAAGGGAAUCAAAUUAUGGGAGGAGGCGGCCCUAUCUAUAUUCCUCUUCUCCAAGCGGUAGCUCCCGUCCAUCCUUUGCCAAAAGUGGAGCAUCUCUCAUUUCCUUCUUCAUCUUCUCCUCCUCCUCCUUUCUUGAUGCUCACUCGCCUAUAAAUAGCUCUCGCUGCCUGCCAUUGUUACUCAAGCUAGCAAGCAAGAAGCACAAAAGAAGCCAACACCAAUCAAGGCCUCCAUCCAAUCCCAAGCAACCUCGAAGAUGUCUUGCUGCGGAGGAAGCUGCGGCAGCGCCUGCAAGUGCGGCAACGGCUGCGGCGGCUGCAACAUGUACCCCGAGGUCGAGGCCGCCGGCGCCACCCUCCUCGUCGCCGCCACCGCCACCCACAAGGCGUACGUCCCUUCUCUUUCCUCAUACAUCAUGCGCCUCGCUGUAAUAUGACUAUAUAUGUUGAUCUUGCUAUGGGACUAAGGAUGGAUGGAUGGGUGCAGGAGCUCCGGCGGGAUGGAGAUGGCGGCGGAGAAUGGCGGCUGCGGCUGCACCCAGUGCAAGUGCGGCACCAGCUGCGGCUGCUCCUGCUGCAGCUGCUAGAUCAUUGAUCAUCGAUCAUGCAUGCACCGCGCGCAUGCAUCAUAUCUAUGAUCGAUCCAUCCAUCCAUCUAGUACCAUGUAACGCUACCUGAUCGAGGGUCUUUGUAUGUAUGUAAGCACCUGCCAGCAUGAGCAGAGCAGGUGCACUCCCAUGCAUGUAAACCGACCCCUAAAUAAAAUCUCCCGUGGUUUAACCUAUACAUGUGUUUGUGUUAUAGACCAGCUUCUGGCCCAUGUUUACUAUCAACUUGCGAGGUGCCUGGGUUGCUAAUAGACCAGCUGAAUGCUCUCUUAAAGCAACGUAUGCACCGCUUGGAAUCGGUGUAUCUUUCUUUAUACACAUGUAUUUAUUUUACAGGUGUAUAUCAUCGGCCACACCUGGGAAAAACGAUGGAUGGAGAAGGGUAAAUUUACAGGGGUAUUGCUCUGUGAAACGAGGGUCGAAUCAGGGUCGUAAGGGUGUUUGAUACGUGUGAAUAUUACUGGCCGAAGUUGAGUAUGAGAUACAUACAAUACAAACUUGACACUUUUGAAAGUCGUGCUAUCAAUCAUGAGACACAUAGUUUAGCCAAAUUCUCGCUUAAUCUUUGUCAAAGGGUGUCACGUACUCACGUCUGGUUUGGCCAACCCCAUGAUCCGAUAUGUAUCCCACUCUUUGUGGUUUUCGAUGAAUAAAAUUUGGUUAAACCCUAAAAAAAACUUAUUUUGC